Molecule: transfer RNA, 76 nt
Filed under: Gammaproteobacteria bacterium
Lineage: Bacteria; Pseudomonadati; Pseudomonadota; Gammaproteobacteria
Description: tRNA-Glu
Rfam family: tRNA
About the family: Transfer RNA (tRNA) molecules are approximately 80 nucleotides in length.
Source: RNAcentral
GCUCCCUUCGUCUAGUGGUUCAGGACGUCGCCCUCUCACGGCGGUAACACCGGUUCGAAUCCGGUAGGGAGUACCA